RNAcentral lists this ribosomal RNA (545 nucleotides) under uncultured bacterium. RNAcentral's name for it is "bacterial SSU rRNA". It matches the Rfam family "Bacterial small subunit ribosomal RNA", at positions 1 to 518 of the family's 1533-position model. The record is from RNAcentral.
CCCGUGUGUCGUCGUCGCGACGUCUACGAGAGUAGUGACUCGUGCUAGGACGAACGCUGGCGGCGUGCUUAACACAUGCAAGUCGAACGGGGAUAACGGAGAGGAGAGCUUCGGCAGGAAUCGCUGUUAUUCGAGUGGCGGACGGGUGAGUAACGCGUGAGCAACCUGUCCCAGACAGGGGGAUAACACUUGGAAACAGGUGCUAAUACCGCAUAAGACCACGGGAUCGCAUGGUUCUGGGGUAAAAGGAGAAAUCCGGUUUGGGGUGGGCUCGCGUCCGAUUAGCCAGUUGGCGGGGUAACGGCCCACCAAAGCGACGAUCGGUAGCCGACCUGAGAGGGUGAUCGGCCACAUUGGAACUGAGAGACGGUCCAAACUCCUACGGGAGGCAGCAGUGGGGAAUAUUGGGCAAUGGGCGAAAGCCUGACCCAAGCAACGCCGCGUGAGUGAAGAAGGCCUUCGGGUUGUAAAGCUCUGUUAUAGUUGACGAAGUGCGUGACGGUAGGCUAUAAGGAAGCCCCGGCUAACUACGUGCCAGCAGCAGC